GUGUUCCACGCUGUCGGUUCGCCGCCCGUCGGUGUUAACUGGCAUGUCCUGUGGAACGUCCUGCCGGUGGCGGUCCGGGCUCUCGGCUUGCGUAAAGGCUACUGCCCGAAGCAGGUCGAACGGUACCGGCCGCCGGUCCAAUCCCGCCACGGUGCUCUUCACCGAGUGUCGAGGUGGGCCGGCACGUUUACUUUGAACAAAUUAGAGUGCUUAAAGCAGGCUGGUUUCCGCCUGAAUACUGUGUGCAUGGAAUAAUAGAAUAGGACCUCGGUUCUAUUUUGUUGGUUUUCGGAACCCGAGGUAAUGAUUAAUAGGGACAGGCGGGGGCAUUCGUAUUGCGACGUUAGAGGUGAAAUUCUUGGAUCGUCGCAAGACGAACCUAAGCGAAAGCAUUUGCCAAGUAUGUUCUCGUUAAUCAAGAACGAAAGUUAGAGGUUCGAAGGCGAUCAGAUACCGCCCUAGUUCUAACCAUAAACGAUGCCAGCCAGCGAUCCGCCGAAGUUCCUCCGAUGACUCGGCGGGCAGCUUCCGGGAAACCAAAGCUUUUGGGUUCCGGGGGAAGUAUGGUUGCAAAGCUGAAACUUAAAGGAAUUGACGGAAGGGCACCACCAGGAGUGGAGCCUGCGGCUUAAUUUGACUCAACACGGGAAACCUCACCAGGCCCGGACACCGGAAGGAUUGACAGAUUGAGAGCUCUUUCUUGAUUCGGUGGGUGGUGGUGCAUGGCCGUUCUUAGUUGGUGGAGCGAUUUGUCUGGUUAAUUCCGAUAACGAACGAGACUCUAGCCUGCUAACUAGGCGAUUUCCGGUACCCACAAUAGUGUUACCGGCGAUUCAAUUUCUUCUUAGAGGGACAGGCGGCUCCUAGCCGCACGAGACUGAGCAAUAACAGGUCUGUGAUGCCCUUAGAUGUCCUGGGCCGCACGCGCGCUACACUGAAGGAAUCAGCGUGUCUUCCCUGGCCGACAGGCCCGGGUAACCCGUUGAACCUCCUUCGUGCUAGGGAUUGGGGCUUGCAAUUGUUCCCCAUGAACGAGGAAUUCCCAGUAAGCGCGAGUCAUAAGCUCGCGUUGAUUACGUCCCUGCCCUUUGUACACACCGCCCGUCGCUACUACCGAUUGAAUGAUUUAGUGAGGUCUUCGGACUGGUGCGCGGCGGUCGGCUUUGCCGGCCGCCGAUGUUGCCGGAAAGAUGACCAAACUUGAUCAUUUAGAGGAAGUAAAAGU
RNAcentral lists this ribosomal RNA (1225 nucleotides) under Cephisus siccifolius. RNAcentral's name for it is "SSU rRNA". It matches the Rfam family "Eukaryotic small subunit ribosomal RNA", at positions 689 to 1789 of the family's 1831-position model. Lineage: Eukaryota; Metazoa; Arthropoda; Insecta; Hemiptera; Aphrophoridae. The record is from RNAcentral.